AAUUAAACGCAUAUGGACACAUGAGCAGUUUGGGAAAUUGAAACCCUACCAAACUCCCAAAGAAUGAUGGUAAGAGCAACACCGUCAAGUCAUGAUCGCAACCUCGCUCGACCUCAAACUCACACCCGUCGCCGCCGCCGCCGCUUGACCAUAACCUUUCAUCCAUUCGCAAUGUCAGAAGUUUCGCCCUAUCCUCACACACAACUUCUCUCACUCUCAAUCUCCCUCGCCUAAGUAAGUCAAUGAGAAGAUUGAUAUAUUCAACCUUGCAGUUAUACUAUUGGAGCUGACAAUUGGUAAAGAAUUGAUGGGCUCUCAUCUCUUGCAGAGUGGACAUGUUGUAAAUAUAUACCUUUGUUUCAUUUUGAAAGCUUUUGAACUGCCAGCAUUUGAAUCUGGUUCAAGUCUUUUUGGUAGUGUUUGUAAGUCUUUGUCUCUUGAGUCGUGAUUGUGGAUGCAAAUGUACACAUGUUUGUGCAAAUUUCUCCCAAUACUGUUUUGGAGGAGGUCUUGUGCUUUUCUUUAUCUUGGUGGUGUUUUCUUGAUGCAGGUUUUAAGUGCUACUCUGUGAUUACAAAGGGUAGGAAAGGGGUAUAAUGAAUAGAUGUCGGGGGCCUUUGAUAUAUAUUUACCUUACUGUAGGAGGUCUAGCAGAAUUUGUGGGGAAUUUUCUUUGUAAUGGUCCUUUGUUUUGUGUUCGGCUUGUGUAACUUUAGCAGCAGCAUGUAUACACUCCUUGUGUUACAUAUCUGUUGGUUUAUAAAUAAUAUCUCUUUGGCCUUUAGAAAAAAAAAGGGUAUUUUAUCUUCA
Molecule: long non-coding RNA, 810 nt
Organism: Glycine soja
Lineage: Eukaryota; Viridiplantae; Streptophyta; Magnoliopsida; Fabales; Fabaceae
Exons: 2
Source: RefSeq, a predicted model, not a curated record